GCGACCCAACGCUGGAUACUUUCUUCAGCAAAGAUGGCUGACAACAAUACUAGAAUGGAAGCUAAUGGAAUCCUGAAACAAUCAGCAAACCAGGCUGUCGUCUUGUGAAACAUUGGAUGUAAAGAAUCUAGCUAGCUAAAGCAUUUACUGUAAAUUUACUGUACAAUUUUUAAGCUUGCCUUGCUGAGAUUUGCUAUGCAAUGCAGCUGAAGUAACGUAGCUAGCUAACUAUUUUCUUGCUUAUUGUACAGUGGAGGAUAAAAAAUACCUGUAUGCCUAUGGAUGUGUAGCUAGCUAUGUAGCCGAUUUGUGUAUGGACCCUAAAUCGUUUGGUGUAUAUAUAUCAGUUCAGAACCUAGCUAUGAACCUCAGCUAUCAUAGCCGGUUGUAUCAACUUCAAAACAGUCUGAAUGACAUUAAUGAAGCCUAUGGAUUGAGUAGAAUAUAAUAACUUUGUGCCAAGGAUGCAAGUCGUAUAUACAUGUAGUUAUUAUCAUGCAUGAGAUCCCCACAUUUUAGCCUGUACAUUUAAAUAUAUUCACUGAUCAUGUACUCUACCUUGGCAAAUAAAGGUGCAGUUCAGGUAUAAUAAUAAAUAAUAAUAAUAAUA
Coregonus clupeaformis (lake whitefish) is the source of this 610-nucleotide long non-coding RNA. RefSeq lists it as uncharacterized. NCBI's taxonomy places the organism in Eukaryota, Metazoa, Chordata, Actinopteri, Salmoniformes, Salmonidae. The transcript has 2 exons. The record is from RefSeq and is a predicted model, not a curated record.